Molecule: ribosomal RNA, 490 nt
Filed under: Petasospora fabianii
Lineage: Eukaryota; Fungi; Ascomycota; Saccharomycetes; Phaffomycetales; Wickerhamomycetaceae
Description: eukaryotic LSU rRNA
Rfam family: Eukaryotic large subunit ribosomal RNA
Source: RNAcentral
UGGCCUCAGUACGGCGAGUGAGCGGCAAAGCUCAAUUUGAAAUCUAGUACCUUCGGUGCUCGAGUUGUAAUUUGAAGGUAGUUUUCUGGUGCUGGCCCUUGUCUAUGUUCCUUGGAACAGGACGUCAUAGAGGGUGAGAAUCCCGUCUGAUGGGGUGUCCAGUGCUUUGUAGAUUUCUACCGAAGAGUCGAGUUGUUUGGGAAUGCAGCUCUAAGUGGGUGGUAAAUUCCAUCUAAAGCUAAAUACUGGCGAGAGACCGAUAGCGAACAAGUACAGUGAUGGAAAGAUGAAAAGAACUUUGAAAAGAGAGUGAAAAAGUACGUGAAAUUGUUGAAAGGGAAGGGUAUUGGAUCAGACUUGGUGUCUUGUGAUUAUCUUCCCUUCUUGGGUUGUGCACUCGCAUUUCACUGGGCCAGCAUCGGUUCGGAUGGCAAGAUAAUGGCUUGGGAAUGUGGCACUCUUCGGAGUGUGUUAUAGCCCUUGUUGAUGU